This is a small nucleolar RNA of Nycticebus coucang (slow loris), 77 nucleotides long. RefSeq annotates it as small nucleolar RNA SNORD28. The record is from RefSeq and is a predicted model, not a curated record. The transcript has a single exon. Lineage: Eukaryota; Metazoa; Chordata; Mammalia; Primates; Lorisidae.
GUCAUAUGAUUUGAAUUGAUAAGCUGAUACUCUCUGGGGUGUACAACACUUAAGAGCAUGUUAGAGUCCUGAUGGCA